UCAAAUGCGGUGAUGAGAUAAGUAAAUCAAUCGUGGGUUUUUCAGAGAGCCGGGUCAGGUGCAAGCUGGUAUUCCCGCAUGGUUGAAAAUGGUCUUGGAGCAUUCAGUGCCGAAUGAUUAAGCGCUGACGGUGGUCCCCGAUAAACGGACAAAGGUAUCUCAAUUCAGUGAGAUUGACAUACCUGCUGAGGACUAUUUUGCGAAAAAUAGUCGAAUUAAAGGUGGUAACACGAGUCAUCGUCCUUCUG
This 248-nucleotide non-coding RNA is filed under the name Lactiplantibacillus plantarum. RNAcentral describes it as "Lactobacillus plantarum T-box". It matches the Rfam family "T-box leader". From Rfam's summary of the family: Uncharged tRNA acts as the effector for transcription antitermination of genes in the T-box leader family. T-boxes are found upstream of many aminoacyl-tRNA synthetase genes and some amino acid biosynthetic genes usually in Gram-positive bacteria. The record is from RNAcentral. Lineage: Bacteria; Bacillati; Bacillota; Bacilli; Lactobacillales; Lactobacillaceae.